Molecule: ribosomal RNA, 253 nt
Filed under: uncultured bacterium
Lineage: Bacteria
Description: partial 16S ribosomal RNA
Rfam family: Bacterial small subunit ribosomal RNA
Source: RNAcentral
UACAGAGGUCCCAAGCGUUGUUCGGAUUCAUUGGGCGUAAAGGGUGCGUAGGCGGCGCGGUAAGUCGGGUGUGAAAUCUCGGAGCUUAACUCCGAAACUGCAUUCGAUACUGCCGUGCUUGAGGACUGGAGAGGAGACUGGAAUUUACGGUGUAGCGGUGAAAUGCGUAGAUAUCGUAAGGAACACCAGUGGCGAAGGCGGCACACUGGUCCGGUACUGACGCUGAGGUGCGAAAGCGUGGGGAGCAAACAGG